AUUGAACGCUGGCGGCAUGCUUUACACAUGCAAGUCGAACGGACUUAGGUGCUUGCACCUAGGUUAGUGGCGAACGGGUGAGUAAUGCAUCGGAACGUACCGUGUAAUGGGGGAUAACGCAGCGAAAGUUGUGCUAAUACCGCAUACGAUCUACGGAUGAAAGCAGGGGAUCGCAAGACCUUGCGUUAUACGAGCGGCCGAUGUCGGAUUAGCUAGUUGGUAGGGUAAAGGCCUACCAAGGCAACGAUCCGUAGCGGGUCUGAGAGGAUGAUCCGCCACACUGGGACUGAGACACGGCCCAGACUCCUACGGGAGGCAGCAGUGGGGAAUUUUGGACAAUGGGCGCAAGCCUGAUCCAGCCAUGCCGCGUGAGUGAAGAAGGCCUCGGUU
This 390-nucleotide ribosomal RNA is filed under the name uncultured bacterium. Its description in RNAcentral is "bacterial SSU rRNA". It matches the Rfam family "Bacterial small subunit ribosomal RNA", at positions 30 to 424 of the family's 1533-position model. The record is from RNAcentral.